GACGAACGCUGGCGGCGUGCUUAACACAUGCAAGUCGAACGGAAAGGCCCUGCUUUUGUGGGGUGCUCGAGUGGCGAACGGGUGAGUAACACGUGAGUAACCUGCCCUUGACUUUGGGAUAACUUCAGGAAACUGGGGCUAAUACCGGAUAGGAGCUCCUGCUGCAUGGUGGGGGUUGGAAAGUUUCGGCGGUUGGGGAUGGACUCGCGGCUUAUCAGCUUGUUGGUGGGGUAGUGGCUUACCAAGGCUUUGAGGGGUAGCCGGCCUGAGAGGGUGACCGGCCACAUUGGGACUGAGAUACGGACCAGACUCCUACGGGCGGCAGCAGUGGGGAAUAUUGCACAAUGGGCGGAAGCCUGAUGCAGCAACGCCGCGUGCGGGAUGACGGCCUUCGGGUUGUAAACCGCUUUCGCCUGUGACGAAGCGUGAGUGACGGUAAUGGGUAAAGAAGCACCGGCUAACUACGUG
RNAcentral lists this ribosomal RNA (468 nucleotides) under uncultured bacterium. RNAcentral's name for it is "partial 16S ribosomal RNA". It matches the Rfam family "Bacterial small subunit ribosomal RNA", at positions 28 to 507 of the family's 1533-position model. The record is from RNAcentral.